This 427-nucleotide ribosomal RNA is filed under the name Salmonella enterica. Its description in RNAcentral is "bacterial SSU rRNA". It matches the Rfam family "Bacterial small subunit ribosomal RNA", at positions 809 to 1236 of the family's 1533-position model. RNAcentral also lists the same sequence under 1 other name. The record is from RNAcentral. Lineage: Bacteria; Pseudomonadati; Pseudomonadota; Gammaproteobacteria; Enterobacterales; Enterobacteriaceae.
AUGUCUACUUGGAGGUUGUGCCCUUGAGGCGUGGCUUCCGGAGCUAACGCGUUAAGUAGACCGCCUGGGGAGUACGGCCGCAAGGUUAAAACUCAAAUGAAUUGACGGGGGCCCGCACAAGCGGUGGAGCAUGUGGUUUAAUUCGAUGCAACGCGAAGAACCUUACCUGGUCUUGACAUCCACAGAACUUUCCAGAGAUGGAUUGGUGCCUUCGGGAACUGUGAGACAGGUGCUGCAUGGCUGUCGUCAGCUCGUGUUGUGAAAUGUUGGGUUAAGUCCCGCAACGAGCGCAACCCUUAUCCUUUGUUGCCAGCGGUCCGGCCGGGAACUCAAAGGAGACUGCCAGUGAUAAACUGGAGGAAGGUGGGGAUGACGUCAAGUCAUCAUGGCCCUUACGACCAGGGCUACACACGUGCUACAAUGGCGC